GGGGGAGUAGUUCAACUGGCAGAACGCCUGGCUCUGAACCAGCGCGGUUGAUCGUUCGAAUCGAUCCUCCCCUU
RNAcentral lists this transfer RNA (74 nucleotides) under Deltaproteobacteria bacterium. Its description in RNAcentral is "tRNA-Gln". It matches the Rfam family "tRNA". From Rfam's summary of the family: Transfer RNA (tRNA) molecules are approximately 80 nucleotides in length. Lineage: Bacteria; Pseudomonadati; Myxococcota; Myxococcia. The record is from RNAcentral. RNAcentral also lists the same sequence under 1 other name.